UACGUAGGUGGCAAGCGUUGUCCGGAUUUAUUGGGCUUAAAGGGUGUGUAGGUGGUCUAUUAAGUCAGUGCUGAAAUAUCCCGGCUUAACCGGGAGGGUGGCAUUGAUACUGAUGGACUUGAGUAGAGUCGAGGUAGGCGGAAUUGACGGUGUAGCGGUGAAAUGCUUAGAUAUCGUCAAGAACACCUAUAGCGAAGGCAGCUUACUAGGCUCUAACUGACACUGAGGCACGAAAGUGUGGGGAUCAAACAGG
Molecule: ribosomal RNA, 253 nt
Filed under: uncultured bacterium
Lineage: Bacteria
Description: partial 16S ribosomal RNA
Rfam family: Bacterial small subunit ribosomal RNA
Source: RNAcentral